AUGAGUACAUACCAUAUCCUUCCAUUGAUCAUUUCUAGCCCAACCUGGUAUGGACGGAUGCUGAUCAGUUGGGAUGAAGGACAGAGCGGAAUGAACUCCCAAUGCUAUGAGGCAACUGUCCCACAUAAUGGAAAUGUCCUUUAUCCUGACUGUGGAAACUUUGCCAGGGGCAGUUCACAGGUGCUAACACUCAGGUCUUCUGAGACAAACAAGGUCUCAUCAUUUAAAUCCACGGGGGCUUCCGUAGUUCAUUGUGUUACAAGGAGGUACUUUGGAGAACUUCUAUGCUUCCAACGAAGUCUUUUGCUGGGAUAUGAAGGCAAAGAACACAUAGUCUUGUUUUCAUCACGUUUAAGAAUUUUCACUUGACCUCAGGAUCAAAGUAAUGAACAGAUGAGGUCUAUGACAAGUUAGUGCCUGAAAGACACUGGAUAAAAUGAGCUUUGCUCUUCCCUUGGCAUUAUAUGCUGUUCCCUGCAUUCUUGCCCCCUUCACCUUUAUCCCAUCACUUGCUUCUGUCCUUCUGCUCCAUUUAUGAAUAUUUCCAUCAACGAAUAUCUUCUAUCUUACUAACAAGAUCCAUCUUCCUGGCAAUGCUAUAAGAUGUCAACAGCUACAAGAACCUUCUCCAACCUCCCCCGAACUUCAUGGGACGUCCCUGGGGCAGGCUUCCCCAGUCUCACGCUGAUUCUGCACACCUACAUACAGAAUAAUUCUGGGUAACACACUCUACCUUAGGGUCUGCCGUCUGGAUCUCCAAGUCCUAAAAACCAUCUGUAAUUUAGAAGUACAUCCAAUAGCCUACUUUCACUGUAGAGUAACCUGAUUCCUUUGUUAGUUAGCUCCAUUCCUUCCAAGGUUCCUUCUCAAGAUGUUGGAGUAGCCCCAGCUGCUGUCCAACCCCAUAAAUCACACAUUUCUCUAGCCCCAUUCUUUUUCACCUUCUUUUCCAAUGCCAUGCAUCCAAUCGUCUUUUACAAGAACCAUCUCAUCCUGCCAUCUUCAACUCAGAGCUCCUACAAAGUCCAUGUGACUUUGCUAAAAGGUUCGACAUGGUCAUGUCUUCCUGGAGCUCUCACUGCCUCCAGACCUGGGAAGUCCGUGGUCAUUUCUCAUGGGCCUUCUUGGGUGAUCUGAACCCACGGCAUUGGCUGUGUGAAACCUAGAGACCAUGGUGCCAAUUUACUAAGAGCAGUUGUUUCUCAUAAAUUAGAACAUAUACAUUAGAUCAAAUAUUGAAAGGAAAUGUUGUGUUUCUACCAUAAUAUUUAGACUUUAUGAUGGCCUAUGGAACUGGAAAAUAGGUGUGGGGUGUGUGUGUGUUUUCUCCAUUUUCCCAUGACGUCCAGAGAAAGUUAGCCUCAAGAACCAUUACUACGUUUUCACAGCACAAAAUGCUCCUAGCCUUAAUAAAAUGAACCCACUAAAAGGAAGCUUUGGAAAU
RNAcentral lists this long non-coding RNA (1444 nucleotides) under Neogale vison (American mink). RNAcentral describes it as "Neovison vison (American mink) lncRNA (ENSNVIG00000014821.1)". Lineage: Eukaryota; Metazoa; Chordata; Mammalia; Carnivora; Mustelidae. The record is from RNAcentral.